ACCCAUUUCAAAGGCUCAUUGACUCACUCAUUCCAACUGCGCCGUUUCAAAAUGUUUACGAUGCAACAAGGAGUUGGAACAUUGAGGGGGAGAAGAAGAAGACCCGACGGGUAGAAAAAGGAACAAU
This is a non-coding RNA of Caenorhabditis elegans, 127 nucleotides long. The record is from Ensembl. Lineage: Eukaryota; Metazoa; Nematoda; Chromadorea; Rhabditida; Rhabditidae.